AUGUGUAAUAGGGAAGGAUUCAAGGCAAAAGAUAGUAAAGAGACUAAUGACCCCUUGAGGAAAAGGCGUAAGCAAACAGAUACGCGAUGCGGUUGUGAUGCACAUAUCUUUGUUAGACUUUGUGGGGAGAACACCUACAAGAUAGACUCACUGAUUGAGCACCAUGUUCAUGGCCUUGUAUCGCCUAAUAAGCGUCAUUUGAUCAGAUCAAAUCGUAGAGUUAGUGAGAGGGCAAAAAAUACUUUAUACACAUGUCAUAAGGCAACUAUUGGAACGUCGCAGGCAUACAGGCUCCUGCAAGUUAGUGAGGGUGGAAUUCCGAAUGCUGGGUGCACAAAGAGGGACUUGCAGAAUUACUACCGCGGACUCAGGUAUAAAAUCAGAGAUGCAGAUGCUCAAAUGUUUGUGGCCCAAUUAGCUAGAAAGCAGGAAGUGAAUUCAGCAUUUUUCUAUGAUUUUGAGGUGAAUGAUGAGGGGGAGUUGGUGCGUGUGUUCUGGGCGGAUGCCACCAGCAGGAAGAACUAUAGUCACUUUGGUGAUGUGAUAUCCUUCGAUUCUACAUACACCACUAAUCAGUAUAACAUGAUAUUUGCACCAUUUACAGGGGUUAAUCAUCACUUACAAAGUGUCUUUUUUGGUGCUGCAUUCUUAUCAAAUGAGAAGGAUGAGUCAUACAUUUGGUUAUUUCAGACCUUCCUAACAGCAAUGGGAGGGGCAGCACCUAGACUCAUCAUAACCGAUGAAGCCACUAGAAUCAAGAAUGGUAUUGAUAAAGUUCUUCCAACAACUGUGCAUAGGUUGUGCAUGUGGCAUAUAAUGGAAAAGGUUCCUGAAAAGGUUGGACCUUCGAUUAGAGAAGAUUCUGAUUUUUGGACAAGAUUGAACUCGUGUGUUUGGGGUUCGGAAACUUCAACUGAGUUUGAGUCACAAUGGAAUUCCAUCAUUACUGAUUUUGGGUUGGAGAAAAAUGAGUGGUUGGCCAAGAGGUUUAGCAUUCGAGACACAUGGAUACCAGCGUACUUUAUGGAUAUAUCUCUAGCAUGCAUUCUUCGAACCACUUCAAGAUCAGAAAGUGCAAAUUCUUUUUUUAACCGCUUCAUUCAUCGAAGGCUCGCUUUUGUUGAGUUUUGGCUGAGGUUUGACACAGCUUUAGAAUGCCAACGUGAGGAAGAAUUAAUGGCAGACAACAGAAGCAUACAUACCACCCCUCAACUAUUUACACCAUGGACAAUGGAGAAACAAGGUAGUGAGGUAUUCACAUAUGAGGUGUUCGAGAAACUUCAGCUACAGAUUAUUGCUGCUAGAGACCAUUGUUUUGUUCAGAGUAUUACACAAGGUGUGGGGGUAAAAAAUGUGACCCUGAGAGGUCGGUCUGGUAAAGUUAGGGAGGUUUGCUAUGACACUACAAGCAUGACAGCAAACUGUUCGUGCAAGUUGUUUGAGUCAGUCGGUUUUCCAUGUCGCCAUAUUAUCCAAGUGUUGAGGAUUGAAAACCAAAAUGAGCUUCCCAGCCACUACAUUAUGAAAAGAUGGCAGAAGAGGUGCAAAAGGUAA
RNAcentral lists this ribosomal RNA (1554 nucleotides) under Triticum aestivum (bread wheat). RNAcentral describes it as "partial small subunit ribosomal RNA". Lineage: Eukaryota; Viridiplantae; Streptophyta; Magnoliopsida; Poales; Poaceae. The record is from RNAcentral.